Molecule: ribosomal RNA, 138 nt
Filed under: uncultured bacterium
Lineage: Bacteria
Description: partial 16S ribosomal RNA
Rfam family: Bacterial small subunit ribosomal RNA
Source: RNAcentral
AAUACGUUCCCGGGCUUGUACACACCGCCCGUCACACCACGAAAGUCGGCAACACCCGAAGCCGGUGGCCUAACCCGUAAGGGGAGGAGCCGUCGAAGGUGGGGUCGGUGAUUGGGGUGAAGUCGUAACAAGGUACCC